GCUCCCGGAGUCCCCGCUGGCGAGGGAUGCCAGCUUUUCAAGCUGGAGGUCAGGGGUUCGAUUCCCCUCGGGAGCA
This 76-nucleotide transfer RNA is filed under the name Haloarcula onubensis. RNAcentral describes it as "tRNA-Glu". It matches the Rfam family "tRNA". Rfam says of the family: Transfer RNA (tRNA) molecules are approximately 80 nucleotides in length. Their secondary structure includes four short double-helical elements and three loops (D, anti-codon, and T loops). Lineage: Archaea; Methanobacteriati; Methanobacteriota; Halobacteria; Halobacteriales; Haloarculaceae. The record is from RNAcentral.